GAAUAAGGAGAUGAAGUAGUGUCUCCCUCCAUUCAAUCCUCAAACAAUUGAGAGAGGAAAUUCACCUUUAUCAUCUGAGUGUAGCAAACACCAAGAACAGAAUACAUUUUGAAUGAGAGGAAGAGACUGGAAAAUCAACUCAGGGAAAACAAGUGAGAUACUGAACACCAAAAAUCCUGGGAUGAAUGGUGAUUUCUAUGAGCAAAGCCCAGAGAUUGUUAACUGAAUAAACAGGUACAGAAAAAGUUCUUUGUCGUAGGAAUGUCUGAUGAUUGGCUGGCAUAUCUCGUAAAUCAUAUAUCACAACAAACAUCUUCACCACAGUCUUAUUAGGAUUAAAUAAGAUUCAACUACAAAAAUAAAGAGAAUAUUCCCUGAGGAACAAAAUUAAUUCAUAGCAGGAAAGACUGGAACUGGGUCACUUGCAAAAAGAAUGCAUUCCUGAAUGUCAAAUUCACUAAGCAGAGGAAAUAUCUUCUGUAAUUUACUGAAGAAAACAUCAAAUUCAUUAUAAAUAAGACCUAUGGGUUGGAUAGUCUCAGAACAUCUCUAUUUCUUAAGUCACUUGGAAAAUGUAUGUAUAUCUGCACAAAUAGAAUCGUCUGAAAAAAA
Long non-coding RNA from Homo sapiens (human), 612 nucleotides. NCBI's taxonomy places the organism in Eukaryota, Metazoa, Chordata, Mammalia, Primates, Hominidae. The record is from Ensembl.